Molecule: ribosomal RNA, 500 nt
Filed under: uncultured bacterium
Lineage: Bacteria
Description: bacterial SSU rRNA
Rfam family: Bacterial small subunit ribosomal RNA
Source: RNAcentral
AGUUUGAUCCUGGCUCAGAUUGAACGCUGGCGGCAUGCUUUACACAUGCAAGUCGAACGGCAGCGCGGGCUUCGGCCUGGCGGCGAGUGGCGAACGGGUGAGUAAUAUAUCGGAACGUACCCAAGAGUGGGGGAUAACGUAGCGAAAGUUACGCUAAUACCGCAUACGAUCUAAGGAUGAAAGCAGGGGAUCGCAAGACCUUGUGCUCCUGGAGCGGCCGAUAUCUGAUUAGCUAGUUGGUGGGGUAAAGGCCCACCAAGGCAACGAUCAGUAGCUGGUCUGAGAGGACGACCAGCCACACUGGAACUGAGACACGGUCCAGACUCCUACGGGAGGCAGCAGUGGGAAUUUUGGACAAUGGGCGCAAGCCUGAUCCAGCAAUGCCGCGUGAGUGAAGAAGGCCUUCGGUUGUAAAGCUUCUUUUGUCAGGGAAGAAAGGUUGUGGCUAAUAUCCACAACUGCUGACGGUACCUGAAGAAUAAGCACCGGCUAACUACGUG